This 1896-nucleotide long non-coding RNA is filed under the name Salmo trutta (river trout). RNAcentral's name for it is "lncRNA (ENSSTUG00000035716.1)". Lineage: Eukaryota; Metazoa; Chordata; Actinopteri; Salmoniformes; Salmonidae. The record is from RNAcentral.
CCGUGACUGAAGUGAUGUGAUUUCCUCAUAGGAAAUUAAAAGUAGCCUCCACAGUUACAAAACGGCUGUUGAAACUGUGGCAAACACUUGUCAGCAACAUUAGAAGUGGGAUAAAUGUGUUAAUUUGAAGGGAGACGAGCAGCCUGGGGACACUGCUCUAAAAUGAGUCUCUCUGGGGAGAGAGAGGAGGGGGGCCCUGCCUCUAAAAUGAGUCUCUCUGGGGAGAGGAAGGAAGGGGGUCCUGCCUCUAAAAUGCAUCUAUCUGGGGAGAGAGAGGAGGGGGGCCCUGCCUCUAAAAUGCAUCUCUCUGGGGAGAGAGAGGAGGGGGGCCUUGCCUCUAAAAAGCAUCUUUCUGGGGAGAGGAAGGAGGUGAUCCCUGCCUCUAAAAUGCAUCUCUCUGGGGGACAUGACACCAAAACUAAGAGCCCAAUCCAUCAGGAGAGACCAGACUCACCCAGCUCUCUGUCCAUGAAUAGUGACGGGUCUAUGGACGUUUUCUAUGAUUGCGAAGACGGAGACUUUUCAGGGUAAGUAGACUCCACUCUAUGAUACUGCCAAUUACAUGCAACAAGGGAGACAUUUCUUCAAUCACAGAGUAAAUACAGACAAGGUUUUAAAAAUCUAACUUUAAAAGUUUAUAUUCUGUUAACUCAUACCCAAAUAAUGUUGUUGACACGCCCUUUACUCAUAUUUGUGGCCAUAGCAUAAAUUGGAGAAAAAUACUUAAAAAACCCCACCUCAAACUUGUAUCUCAAUCUGACCGUUUAAAAAAUGCUGCUAUUUCCUCGUAGAACUUGAUUGCUCUUUGGCAGAGCUGACCAAUCAGCGGUCUAUUUAUGAGAAUAUUUGUAAUGAUUGUUAUACGCCCACAGCAUUCUGUUGUUGGGGUACGCCCACACCAUUCCCAUUCAACAUACUGUCCGGACCUCUGGCAGUCUUUAUAGGGGUGCCACAGGAUUCAAUUGUCGGGCCAACUCUUUUCUCUGUAUAUAUCAAUGAUGUCGCUCUUGCUGCUGGUGAUUCUCUGAUCCACAUCUAUGCAGACGACACCAUUCUGUAUACAUCUGGCACUUCCUUGGACUUUGUGUUAAAAAACCUCCAAACGAGCUUCAGUGCCAUACAGCACUCCUUCCGUGGCCUCCAACUGCCCUUAAAUACUAGUAAAAUUAAAUGCAUGCUUUCAAACGAUUUCUGCCCGCAACCUCCCGCCCGACUAGCAUCACUACUCUGGACGGUUCUGACGUAGAAUAUGUGGACAACUACAAAUAUCUAGGUGUCUGGUUAAACUGUAAACUCUCCUUCCAGACUCACAUUAACCUGUUCGCUAUAGGGGGCAGUAUUUUCACGGCCGGAUGAAAAACGUACCCAAAUUAAACGGCCUACUACUCGGACCCAGAGUCAAAUAUUUGCAUAUUAUUAGUAGAUUUGGAUAGAAAACACUCUGAAGUUUCUAAAACUGUUAGAAUGGUGUCUGAGUAUAACAGAACUCAUAUGGCAGGCAAAAACCUGAGAAGAUUCCAAGCAGGAAGUGGCCUGUUUGCAAAUUUGUAGUCCUUCUUUUGCUUCUCUAUCGAAACUACAGUAUCUGAGCUGUUACGUGGCACUUUCUAAGGCUUCCAUUGGCUCUCUAAAGCGUUCAGAAAGCGGAUUGAGGCGUCUCUGGGCAAAGUAUAGGAGCACAGUUUGUCAGUGGUCAGUCUGGUGACUAAGAGAUUGGAGAUGCACGUUCACAAGACCAUGCUGUUUUUUAUUUUCGUCUUUGAAUGAAUACACUAUUGUCCGGAUGGAAUAUUAUCGCUAUUUUACGAGAGAAAUAGCAUAAAAAUUGAUUUUAAACAGCGUUUGACAAGCUUCUAAGUACGGUAAAGGAACAUUUUGAUUUUUUUUGUCUCGAUA